This 540-nucleotide unclassified non-coding RNA is filed under the name Hevea brasiliensis (rubber tree). Lineage: Eukaryota; Viridiplantae; Streptophyta; Magnoliopsida; Malpighiales; Euphorbiaceae. The record is from RNAcentral.
CUGUUGCUCCUCCUGUGCAUUUUCCACCUUCUCCAAUCACUCCCUUCUUGAAUAGCUUGUCAAAAAAAGAUCUCGAGGAAAAUGGUCCGGCAUAUUCUCAGCUCUCCCAUCCUGUACAUGAGAACCUGUUGACAACAAGUGUCAAGUUUCAAAGUAAAAGAGGAAGCAUGGCGGACAUGAUAUUGCAUGAACUUCUUCUACAUGGUGAUUCUGCCCAAAAAUACAUACAAGGAUCCAGAGGCAAAAAAAUUGACAAUUGGAUCCUUCUUGAUAAUUAUGCACAAGGACGUGGCAAAUCUACCAGCUCUCAUAUUAGAGCUUUGAAAGCCCACUCAAGGCGCUCUAAAAGGCACAUGUCUAUGAAGCAACAUAAAAAAUGUGGAUCUUUUGUUCUGCCCCAAGAUCUCCAAAAGUUUGCUGUUUUUAAGCCAAUGCAUGAGAUGUGGAAAGGCUACAUGAUGCAGCUUCUCAAAAAUACUGGGACAAAUCAAUUGGCUCAGUGUCUUCUUAGUGCUGAUCUACAUGGUGCUGUUAUUCUGG